CCCUACUUUCGGGUAGGGAGUGGCGGACGGGUGAGUAACACAUGGGAACCUACCCACCAGUGAGGGAUACCGGCGCGAAAGCGCCGACAAGCCCGCAUACGCUUCCUCGUAAGGGGAAGGAAAGCUCUUUCGGGGGCGCUGGUGGAUGGGCCUGUGGCCGAUUAGCUAGUUGGUGUGGUAAAAGCGCACCAAGGCGACGAUCGGUAGCUGGUCUGAGAGGACGAGCAGCCACACUGGGAUUGAGAACGGCCCAGACUCCUACGGGGGGCAGCAGUGAGGAAUUUUCCGCAAUGGAGGAAACUCUGACGGAGCAACGCCGCGUGCAGGACGAAGCGCUUCGGC
This 342-nucleotide ribosomal RNA is filed under the name uncultured bacterium. RNAcentral describes it as "bacterial SSU rRNA". It matches the Rfam family "Bacterial small subunit ribosomal RNA", at positions 69 to 422 of the family's 1533-position model. The record is from RNAcentral.